CUACGGAGGGUGCGAGCGUUAAUCGGAAUUACUGGGCGUAAAGGGUGCGUAGGCGGGUUGAUAAGUCGGAUGUGAAAGCCCCGGGCUUAACCUGGGAAUGGCAUUCGAUACUGUCAGGCUAGAGUAUGUCAGAGGUUGGCGGAAUUCCUGGUGUAGCGGUGAAAUGCGUAGAUAUCAGGAGGAACACCAGUGGCGAAGGCGGCUAACUGGGGCAAUACUGACGCUGAGGCACGAAAGCGUGGGGAGCAAACAGGAUUAGAAACCCCAGUAGUCC
RNAcentral lists this ribosomal RNA (274 nucleotides) under uncultured bacterium. RNAcentral describes it as "partial 16S ribosomal RNA". It matches the Rfam family "Bacterial small subunit ribosomal RNA", at positions 523 to 796 of the family's 1533-position model. The record is from RNAcentral.